This 468-nucleotide ribosomal RNA is filed under the name uncultured bacterium. Its description in RNAcentral is "partial 16S ribosomal RNA". It matches the Rfam family "Bacterial small subunit ribosomal RNA", at positions 28 to 507 of the family's 1533-position model. The record is from RNAcentral.
GACGAACGCUGGCGGCGUGCUUAACACAUGCAAGUCGAACGGAAAGGCCCUGCUUUUGUGGGGUGCUCGAGUGGCGAACGGGUGUGUAACACGUGAGUAACCUGCCCUUUACUUUGGGAUAACUUCAGGAAACUGGGGCUAAUACCGGAUAUGAUCUCCUGCUGCAUGGUGGGGGUUGGAAAGUUUCGGCGGUUGGGGAUGGACUCGCGGCUUAUCAGCUUGUUGGUGGGGUAGUGGCUUACCAAGGCUUUGACGGGUAGCCGGCCUGAGAGGGUGACCGGCCACAUUGGGACUGAGAUACGGCGCAGACUCCUACGGGAGGCAGCAGUGGGGAAUAUUGCACAAUGGGCGGAAGCCUGAUGCAGCAACGCCGCGUGCGGGAUGACGGCCUUCGGGUUGUAAACCGCUUUCGCCUGUGACGAAGCGUGAGUGACGGUAAUGGGUAAAGAAGCACCGGCUAACUACGUG